RNAcentral lists this unclassified non-coding RNA (211 nucleotides) under fungal sp. RNAcentral's name for it is "partial internal transcribed spacer region". The stretch from base 1 to 46 matches the Rfam family "Eukaryotic small subunit ribosomal RNA", at positions 1786 to 1831 of the family's 1831-position model. Lineage: Eukaryota; Fungi. The record is from RNAcentral.
AAGUCGUAACAAGGUCUCCGUUGGUGAACCAGCGGAGGGAUCAUUACAGAGUUGCAAAACUCCCAAAACCAUCGCGAACCCUACCUCACAACCGUUGCUUCGGCGGGCGGGGCGCCCGCCGGAGGCACCUAACUCUUGCUUAUCACACGGCCUCUCUGAGUAUUCUGUACUGAAUAAGUCAAAACUUUCAACAACGGAUCUCUUGGUUCUG